AAUGGCAGCCUCCAGGAGAAUUCAUGCAGAUGAGCAUUCCCCGGCGCAUCUGCCUCCAGUGUCCCUGUCUGCGCAGUAAACCACAGCUGACUGCUGCCUCAUUAGAAGACUCACAGUUGAAUGAUUUCUGAGAGGCAGUUAAGGAGGCCAGCAUCCAUGUUUCCACCAGGAAUGGGCGCUACUUCAGUCACCCAAGCAACAGAGGACUCUCUAUUAAGGCGGAUUCUUUACUACUGCACCACCUGGGAAGCUCAUCCUUUGAACUAAUUGCUGCUGCUACGUUGCUUCAGUCGUGUCUGACUCUGCGACCCCGUAGACAGCAGCCCACCAGGCUCCCCCGUCCCUGGGAUUCUCCAGGCAAGAAUACUGGAGUGGGUUGCCAUUUCCUUCUCCUAGUACCAUAUAUUAAAAAGUCGUUCCUUUCCCCAUGAAUUUGAUUGGCACUUCUGUGAUAAAUCAAAUAAUCUUCUAUACGUGAGCCUAUUUUUGCACCCUAUUCUGUUCUGCUCAUCUGUUAUCUAUCUGAUCAAUUUCAGUGAUGGUUGGAGAUUCACAUGGAUCUAAGGAAAGUUUCUUUUCCACAAUGUAAUUUUUUUUCUAUUGUUCUAUGUCCUAGAACUGAUUACUUUAUAGAAUAAUAGAUGUAGUAAAGAUUUAAUAUUACAGUAAUAUAGAGAAUACUUUUGGUUUUGGUAGGAAGAUUUUUACAGUAUUUGGAAUAUUAUUAUAGGACAUUGUUUUCCUGCACCUUGAUGUGUAUCUGAGGUCAGGGAGUAACAUUUUUUUAAAUUAAAGGAACUGCCACUUUGCUUUUUAAUAUUCUUGUUCAAUUUCCUCUCCCCUCCAAAAACUCCCAAGAGACACUGAAAUGAUACAAAUAUGUUGCAAAUAAC
Molecule: long non-coding RNA, 893 nt
Organism: Bos taurus (domestic cattle)
Lineage: Eukaryota; Metazoa; Chordata; Mammalia; Artiodactyla; Bovidae
Source: Ensembl